AAUCCGGUUGAUCCUGCCGGCGGGCACCGCUAUUGGAGUUCGCUUAAGCCAUGCGAGUCGAGAGGGGUAAGCCCUCGGCGCACUGCUCAGUAACACGCGGAUAAUCUGCCCUCGAGUGGGGGAUAACCCCGGGAAACUGGGAAUAAUACCCCAUAGCCGUUCCAUGAUGGAAGGCUGGGACGGCGAAAGCUGAGGCGCUCGAGGAUGGAUCUGUGGCCUAUCAGGUCGUAGGGGGUGUCACGGACCCCCUAGCCGAAGACGGGUACGGGCUUUGAGAGAAGUCGCCCGGAGAUGGGUUCUGAGACAUGAACCC
This 313-nucleotide ribosomal RNA is filed under the name mine drainage metagenome. RNAcentral describes it as "bacterial SSU rRNA". It matches the Rfam family "Archaeal small subunit ribosomal RNA", at positions 1 to 317 of the family's 1478-position model. The record is from RNAcentral.